RNAcentral lists this ribosomal RNA (400 nucleotides) under uncultured bacterium. RNAcentral describes it as "bacterial SSU rRNA". It matches the Rfam family "Bacterial small subunit ribosomal RNA", at positions 355 to 746 of the family's 1533-position model. The record is from RNAcentral.
UAGGGAAUAUUGCGCAAUGGAGGAAACUCUGACGCAGCGACGCCGCGUGGGUGAUGAAGGCCUUCGGGUUGUAAAGCCCUGUCGGAAGGGAAGAAAAACAAUAUGGCUAAUAUCCAUAAUGCUUGACGGUACCUUUAAAGGAAGCACCGGCUAACUACGUGCCAGCAGCCGCGGUAAUACGUAGGGUGCUAGCGUUGUUCGGAAUCAUUGGGCGUAAAGCGCGUGUAGGCUGUUUAUUAAGUCGGGUGUGAAAUCCCUGGGCUCAACCGAGGAAGUGCAUCCGAAACUAAUAAACUAGAAGACGGUAGAGGAAGGUGGAAUUCCAAGUGUAGAGGUGAAAUUCGUAGAUAUUUGGAGGAAUACCGGUGGCGAAGGCGGCCUUCUGGGCCGUUCUUGACGC